UUAAGUUAUUAAGGGCGCACGGUGGAUGCCUUGGCACUAGAAGCCGAUGAAGGACGUUACUAACGACGAUAUGCUUUGGGGAGCUGUAAGUAAGCUUUGAUCCAGAGAUUUCCGAAUGGGGAAACCCAGCAUGAGUUAUGUCAUGUUAUCGAUAUGUGAAUACAUAGCAUAUCAGAAGGCACACCCGGAGAACUGAAACAUCUUAGUACCCGGAGGAAGAGAAAGAAAAUUCGAUUCCCUUAGUAGCGGCGAGCGAAACGGGAAGAGCCCAAACCAACAAGCUUGCUUGUUGGGGUUGUAGGACACUCUAUACGGAGUUACAAAGGACGACAUUAGACGAAUCAUCUGGAAAGAUGAAUCAAAGAAGGUAAUAAUCCUGUAGUCGAAAAUGUUGUCUCUCUUGAGUGGAUCCUGAGUACGACGGAGCACGUGAAAUUCCGUCGGAAUCUGGGAGGACCAUCUCCUAAGGCUAAAUACUCUCUAGUGACCGAUAGUGAACCAGUACCGUGAGGGAAAGGUGAAAAGCACCCCGGAAGGGGAGUGAAAUAGAACCUGAAACCGUGUGCCUACAAGUAGUCAGAGCCCGUUAAUGGGUGAUGGCGUGCCUUUUGUAGAAUGAACCGGCGAGUUACGAUUUGAUGCAAGGUUAAGCAGUAAAUGUGGAGCCGUAGCGAAAGCGAGUCUGAAUAGGACGUUUAGUAUUUGGUCGUAGACCCGAAACCAGGUGAUCUACCCUUGGUCAGGUUGAAGUUCAGGUAACACUGAAUGGAGGACCGAACCGACUUACGUUGAAAAGUGAGCGGAUGAACUGAGGGUAGCGGAGAAAUUCCAAUCGAACCUGGAGAUAGCUGGUUCUCUCCGAAAUAGCUUUAGGGCUAGCCUCAAGUGAUGAUUAUUGGAGGUAGAGCACUGUUUGGACGAGGGGCCCCUCUCGGGUUACCGAAUUCAGACAAACUCCGAAUGCCAAUUAAUUUAACUUGGGAGUCAGAACAUGGGUGAUAAGGUCCGUGUUCGAAAGGGAAACAGCCCAGACCACCAGCUAAGGUCCCAAAAUAUAUGUUAAGUGGAAAAGGAUGUGGCGUUGCCCAGACAACUAGGAUGUUGGCUUAGAAGCAGCCAUCAUUUAAAGAGUGCGUAAUAGCUCACUAGUCGAGUGACACUGCGCCGAAAAUGUACCGGGGCUAAACAUAUUACCGAAGCUGUGGAUUGUCCUUUGGACAAUGGUAGGAGAGCGUUCUAAGGGCGUUGAAGCAUGAUCGUAAGGACAUGUGGAGCGCUUAGAAGUGAGAAUGCCGGUGUGAGUAGCGAAAGACGGGUGAGAAUCCCGUCCACCGAUUGACUAAGGUUUCCAGAGGAAGGCUCGUCCGCUCUGGGUUAGUCGGGUCCUAAGCUGAGGCCGACAGGCGUAGGCGAUGGAUAACAGGUUGAUAUUCCUGUACCACCUAUAAUCGUUUUAAUCGAUGGGGGGACGCAGUAGGAUAGGCGAAGCGUGCGAUUGGAUUGCACGUCUAAGCAGUAAGGCUGAGUAUUAGGCAAAUCCGGUACUCAUUAAGGCUGAGCUGUGAUGGGGAGAAGACAUUGUGUCUUCGAGUCGUUGAUUUCACACUGCCGAGAAAAGCCUCUAGAUAGAAAAUAGGUGCCCGUACCGCAAACCGACACAGGUAGUCAAGAUGAGAAUUCUAAGGUGAGCGAGCGAACUCUCGUUAAGGAACUCGGCAAAAUGACCCCGUAACUUCGGGAGAAGGGGUGCUCUUUAGGGUUAACGCCCAGAAGAGCCGCAGUGAAUAGGCCCAAGCGACUGUUUAUCAAAAACACAGGUCUCUGCUAAACCGUAAGGUGAUGUAUAGGGGCUGACGCCUGCCCGGUGCUGGAAGGUUAAGAGGAGUGGUUAGCUUCUGCGAAGCUACGAAUCGAAGCCCCAGUAAACGGCGGCCGUAACUAUAACGGUCCUAAGGUAGCGAAAUUCCUUGUCGGGUAAGUUCCGACCCGCACGAAAGGCGUAACGAUUUGGGCACUGUCUCAACGAGAGACUCGGUGAAAUCAUAGUACCUGUGAAGAUGCAGGUUACCCGCGACAGGACGGAAAGACCCCGUGGAGCUUUACUGUAGCCUGAUAUUGAAAUUCGGCACAGCUUGUACAGGAUAGGUAGGAGCCUUUGAAACGUGAGCGCUAGCUUACGUGGAGGCGCUGGUGGGAUACUACCCUAGCUGUGUUGGCUUUCUAACCCGCACCACUUAUCGUGGUGGGAGACAGUGUCAGGCGGGCAGUUUGACUGGGGCGGUCGCCUCCUAAAAGGUAACGGAGGCGCUCAAAGGUUCCCUCAGAAUGGUUGGAAAUCAUUCAUAGAGUGUAAAGGCAUAAGGGAGCUUGACUGCGAGACCUACAAGUCGAGCAGGGUCGAAAGACGGACUUAGUGAUCCGGUGGUUCCGCAUGGAAGGGCCAUCGCUCAACGGAUAAAAGCUACCCCGGGGAUAACAGGCUUAUCUCCCCCAAGAGUUCACAUCGACGGGGAGGUUUGGCACCUCGAUGUCGGCUCAUCGCAUCCUGGGGCUGUAGUCGGUCCCAAGGGUUGGGCUGUUCGCCCAUUAAAGCGGUACGCGAGCUGGGUUCAGAACGUCGUGAGACAGUUCGGUCCCUAUCCGUCGUGGGCGUAGGAAAUUUGAGAGGAGCUGUCCUUAGUACGAGAGGACCGGGAUGGACAUACCUCUGGUGUACCAGUUGUCGUGCCAACGGCAUAGCUGGGUAGCUAUGUGUGGACGGGAUAAGUGCUGAAAGCAUCUAAGCAUGAAGCCCCCCUCAAGAUGAGAUUUCCCAACUUCGGUUAUAAGAUCCCUCAAAGAUGAUGAGGUUAAUAGGUUCGAGGUGGAAGCAUGGUGACAUGUGGAGCUGACGAAUACUAAUCGAUCGAAGACUUAAUCAA
RNAcentral lists this ribosomal RNA (2921 nucleotides) under Staphylococcus aureus 1111206270. RNAcentral's name for it is "bacterial LSU rRNA". It matches the Rfam family "Bacterial large subunit ribosomal RNA". Lineage: Bacteria; Bacillati; Bacillota; Bacilli; Caryophanales; Staphylococcaceae. The record is from RNAcentral.